CGCCAGCCUGACGGAGCCAGACCGCGUGGGGGAGGAAGGCCCUUGGGUUGUAAACCCCUUUUCUCAGGGAAGAAACCUGACGGUACCUGAGGAAAAAGCCUCGGCUAACUCCGUGCCAGCAGCCGCGGUAAUACGGAGGAGGCAAGCGUUAUCCGGAAUUACUGGGCGUAAAGCGUCCGUAGGGGGCUCGUCAAGUCUGCUGUCAAAGCUCGGAGCUCAACUCCGGUUCGGCAGUGGAAACUGGUGGGCUAGAGGGCGACAGGGGUAGAGGGAAUUCCCGGUGUAGCGGUGAAAUGCGUAGAUAUCGGGAAGAACACCAGAGGCGAAAGCGUUCUGCUGGGCCGCACCUGACCCUGAGGGACGAAAGCCAGGGGAGCG
RNAcentral lists this ribosomal RNA (378 nucleotides) under uncultured cyanobacterium. RNAcentral's name for it is "bacterial SSU rRNA". It matches the Rfam family "Bacterial small subunit ribosomal RNA", at positions 376 to 770 of the family's 1533-position model. The record is from RNAcentral. Lineage: Bacteria; Bacillati; Cyanobacteriota.